Molecule: ribosomal RNA, 523 nt
Filed under: uncultured bacterium
Lineage: Bacteria
Description: bacterial SSU rRNA
Rfam family: Bacterial small subunit ribosomal RNA
Source: RNAcentral
UCCAGAGAAUUUAGCAGAGAUGCUUUAGUGCCUUCGGGAACUCUGAGACAGGUGCUGCAUGGCUGUCGUCAGCUCGUGUUGUGAAAUGUUGGGUUAAGUCCCGNAACGAGCGCAACCCUUAUCCUUUGUUGUCAGCACGUAAUGGUGGGAACUCAAAGGAGACUGCCGGUGAUAAACCGGAGGAAGGUGGGGAUGACGUCAAGUCAUCAUGGCCCUUACGAGUAGGGCUACACACGUGCUACAAUGGCGCAUACAAAGAGAAGCGACCUCGCGAGAGCAAGCGGACCUCAUAAAGUGCGUCGUAGUCCGGAUUGGAGUCUGCAACUCGACUCCAUGAAGUCGGAAUCGCUAGUAAUCGUAAAUCAGAAUGUUACGGUGAAUACGUUCCCGGGCCUUGUACACACCGCCCGUCACACCAUGGGAGUGGGUUGCAAAAGAAGUAGAUAGCUUAACCUUCGGGAGGGCGUUUACCACUUUGUGAUUCAUGACUGGGGUGAAGUCGUAACAAGGUAGGCGUAGUGCU